Molecule: ribosomal RNA, 463 nt
Filed under: uncultured bacterium
Lineage: Bacteria
Description: partial 16S ribosomal RNA
Rfam family: Bacterial small subunit ribosomal RNA
Source: RNAcentral
GAUGAACGCUGACAGAAUGCUUAACACAUGCAAGUCGAUGGGGAAGUGGUGCUUGCACCAUGGCAACCAUGGCGGACGGGUGAGUAACGCGUAAGGGACUUACCUGCAGGACUGGGAUAACAGGGGGAAACUCCUGACAAGACCGGAUAAUGUCAUGGAGCUGCAUGGCUUUAUGAUGAAAGGAGACGCCCGCGGAGAGCCUUGCGUCCUAUUAGCUAGUUGGUGAGGUAAUGGCUCACCAAGGCGAAGAUAGGUAGCCGGCCUGAGAGGGUGGACGGCCACAAGGGGACUGAGAUACGGCCCUUACUCCUACGGGAGGCAGCAGUGGGGAAUAUUGGACAAUGGGGGCAACCCUGAUCCAGCAAUUCUGUGUGCACGAAGAAGGUUUUCGGAUUGUAAAGUGCUUUCAGCAGGGAAGAAGUAAGUGACGGUACCUGCAGAAGAAGCGACGGCUAAAUACGUG